AAUGUCAUGGUGGAAGGCAGCCUGGGCCUUGAAGACUUUGCAUAAAUCCUGAAAGGCCACUUGGAAAUUUUAUGUUUUGUUGCCAUGACACCCCAUGCACAGUCCAAAUGAGCCAGUUCUACCUUUUCUCCUGUGUCAAGAUGAAUGAUUAGAGCAAGCUUCUGGCUGGAGGAAUACUCUUGCUGUCCUCAUGAUGCAAAAGAUUCCACCUGCUACUAUACAGGACUUGAAUGAGGAUGCCUAUUUUUUCAAGACUUGUAGAGGCAGCUGCCUUCCUUUGAAACUAGCACCUUUUAGAAGCCUGUACUUUGGGUUCCCUAGCACCAGAACACAGUGAAACUACAUCUCUCUGCAGAACAAUGACCUCUGAAAGAAGUAGCAUUCUGGCUUCUCUUGGCCCGUCUUCAAAGACAGCCUCUUUUUCAUUGUCCAUCCAUUGGGAAACCCAGAGGAUAGCCUUUGAAGCUUCCUAGGGAUUUUUUGUAUUCCCCACCACCCCUCCAGUGAUCCAAAUCCCUUGCUGUUUCCUGGCUUGGGAGUUGGAACCGCAGCGAAAAACGGUGUACCAUCCCGGGGAAGAACAGUUAAUGUGGAAAUGCAAGGAAAUGGGUACAACAGGAGCUUCAUAGAGCUUGUUUUCUAACUUUGCAGACUGAAUGUAGGUACUGGGAAACUUAAGUUCAUGAGUAUUUGUGAAAUACUUAGGUACUUCCAAAUAAAAUUAUGAUGGAAGUGUAAGAUUAUUUUCA
This 749-nucleotide long non-coding RNA is filed under the name Parus major (Great Tit). RNAcentral describes it as "lncRNA (ENSPMJG00000014955.1)". The record is from RNAcentral. Lineage: Eukaryota; Metazoa; Chordata; Aves; Passeriformes; Paridae.